Molecule: ribosomal RNA, 468 nt
Filed under: uncultured bacterium
Lineage: Bacteria
Description: partial 16S ribosomal RNA
Rfam family: Bacterial small subunit ribosomal RNA
Source: RNAcentral
GACGAACGCUGGCGGCGUGCUUAACACAUGCAAGUCGAACGGAAAGGCCCUGCUUUUGUGGGGUGCUCGAGUGGCGAACGGGUGAGUAACACGUGAGUAACCUGCCCUUGACUAUGGGAUAACUUCAGGAAACUGGGGCUAAUACCGGAUAGGAGCUCCUGCUGCAUGGUGGGGGUUGGAAAGUUUCGGCGGUUGGGGAUGGACUCGCCGCUUAUCAGCUUGUUGGUGGGGUAGUGGCUUACCAAGGCUUCUACGGGUAGCCGGCCUGAGAGGGUGACCGGCCACAUGGGGACUGAGAUACGGCCCAGACUCCUACGGGAGGCAGCAGUGGGGAAUAUUGCACAAUGGGCGGAAGCCUGAUGCAGCAACGCCGCGUGCGGGAUGACGGCCUUCGGGUUGUAAACCGCGUUCGCCUGUGACGAAGCGUGAGUGACGGUAAUGGGUAAAGAAGCACCGGCUAACUACGUG